GAUGAACGCUGGCGGCGUGCCUAAUACAUGCAAGUCGAGCGAACGGACGAGAAGCUUUCUCCUCUGAUGUUAGCGGCGGACGGGUGAGUAACACGUGGAUAACCUACUUAUUAGACUGGGGUAACUUCGGGAAACCGGAGCUAAUACCGGAUGAUAUUUUGUACCGCAUGGUUCAAAAGUGCAAGACGCUUUUGCCGUCACUUAUAGAUGGAUCCGCGCUGCAUUAGCUAGUUGGUAAGGUAACGGCUUACCAAGGCAACGAUGCAUAGCCGACCUGAGAGGGUGAUCGGCCACACUGGAACUGAGACACGGUCCAGACUCCUACGGGAGGCAGCAGUAGGGAAUCUUCCGCAAUGGGCGAAAGCCUGACGGAGCAACGCCGCGUGAGUGAUGAAGGUCUUCGGAUCGUAAAACUCUGUUAUUGGGAAAGAACAUAUGUGUAAGUAACUGUGCACAUCUUGACGGUACCUAAUCAGAAAGCCACGGCUAACUACGUG
RNAcentral lists this ribosomal RNA (497 nucleotides) under uncultured bacterium. RNAcentral describes it as "partial 16S ribosomal RNA". It matches the Rfam family "Bacterial small subunit ribosomal RNA", at positions 28 to 507 of the family's 1533-position model. The record is from RNAcentral.